CGGUGGAGCAUGUGGUUUAAUUCGAAGCAACGCGAAGAACCUUACCAGGUCUUGACAUCCCUGACAACCCGAGAGAUCGGGCGUUCCCCUUCGGGGGGACAGGGUGACAGGUGGUGCAUGGUUGUCGUCAGCUCGUGUCGUGAGAUGUUGGGUUAAGUCCCGCAACGAGCGCAACCCUCGACCUUAGUUGCCAGCAUUCAGUUGGGCACUCUAAGGUGACUGCCGGCUAAAAGUCGGAGGAAGGUGGGAUGACGUCAAAUCAUCAUGCCCCUUAUGACCUGGGCUACACACGUGCUACAAUGGUUGGUACAACGAGUUGCGAGUCGGUGACGGCGAGCUAAUCUCUUAAAGCCAAUCUCAGUUCGGAUUGUAGGCUGCAACUCGCCUACAUGAAGUCGGAAUCGCUAGUAAUCGCGGAUCAGCACGCCGCGGUGAAUACGUUCCCGGGCCUU
This 452-nucleotide ribosomal RNA is filed under the name uncultured Streptococcus sp. Its description in RNAcentral is "bacterial SSU rRNA". It matches the Rfam family "Bacterial small subunit ribosomal RNA", at positions 930 to 1382 of the family's 1533-position model. Lineage: Bacteria; Bacillati; Bacillota; Bacilli; Lactobacillales; Streptococcaceae. The record is from RNAcentral.